RNAcentral lists this ribosomal RNA (262 nucleotides) under uncultured prokaryote. RNAcentral's name for it is "partial 16S ribosomal RNA". It matches the Rfam family "Bacterial small subunit ribosomal RNA", at positions 524 to 784 of the family's 1533-position model. The record is from RNAcentral.
UACGUAGGUGGCAAGCGUUGUCCGGAUUUAUUGGGCGUAAAGCGAGCGCAGGCGGUUCCUUAAGUCUGAUGUGAAAGCCCAUGGCUCAACCGUGGAAGGUCAUUGGAAACUGGGGAACUUGAGUGCAGAAGAGGAGAGUGGAAUUCCAUGUGUAGCGGUGAAAUGCGUAGAUAUAUGGAGGAACACCAGUGGCGAAGGCGACUCUCUGGUCUGUAACUGACGCUGAGGCUCGAAAGCUAGGGUAGCAAACGGGGAUUAGAUA